CUACGGGUUGCUGCAGUAGGGAAUCUUAGACAAUGGGGGAAACCCUGAUCUAGCCAUGCCGCGUGAGUGAUGAAGGCCUUAGGGUUGUAAAGCUCUUUCGCUGGGGAAGAUAAUGACGGUACCCAGUAAAGAAACCCCGGCUAACUCCGUGCCAGGCAGCCGCGGUAAUACGGAGGGGGUUAGCGUUGUUCGGAAUUACUGGGCGUAAAGCGCGCGUAGGCGGGCUAUUAAGUCAGGGGUGAAAUCCCGGGGCUCAACCCCGGAACUGCCUUUGAUACUGGUAGUCUUGAGUUCGAGAGAGGUGAGUGGAAUUCCGAGUGUAGAGGUGAAAUUCGUAGAUAUUCGGAGGAACAUCAGUGGCGAAGGCGACUCACUGGCUCGAUACUGACGCUGAGGUGCGAAAGUGUGGGGAGCAAACAGGAUUAGAUACCCGCGUAGUC
RNAcentral lists this ribosomal RNA (440 nucleotides) under uncultured bacterium. RNAcentral describes it as "partial 16S ribosomal RNA". It matches the Rfam family "Bacterial small subunit ribosomal RNA", at positions 339 to 795 of the family's 1533-position model. The record is from RNAcentral.